Molecule: small nuclear RNA, 23 nt
Filed under: Arabidopsis thaliana (thale cress)
Lineage: Eukaryota; Viridiplantae; Streptophyta; Magnoliopsida; Brassicales; Brassicaceae
Description: snRNA_03880
Source: RNAcentral
UCAAUCACUGAAUGCAUCAGUUA